This 498-nucleotide ribosomal RNA is filed under the name uncultured Desulfobulbus sp. RNAcentral's name for it is "bacterial SSU rRNA". It matches the Rfam family "Bacterial small subunit ribosomal RNA", at positions 904 to 1382 of the family's 1533-position model. Lineage: Bacteria; Pseudomonadati; Thermodesulfobacteriota; Desulfobulbia; Desulfobulbales; Desulfobulbaceae. The record is from RNAcentral.
CCCGCUCAGCAACUCAAUGAAUUGACGGGGCCCGCACAAGCGGUGGAGUAUGUGGUUUAAUUCGAUGCAACGCGAAGAACCUUACCUGGUCUUGACAUCCCGGAGACCCUUAGGAAACUAGGGGGUGCUUCCAUCUGGAAGAAUCUGGAGACAGGUGCUGCAUGGCUGUCGUCAGCUCGUGUCGUGAGAUGUUGGGUUAAGUCCCGCAACGAGCGCAACCCUUGCCUUUAGUUGCCAGCAGUUCGGCUGGGCACUCUAAAGGGACUGCCGGUGUUAAACCGGAGGAAGGUGGGGAUGACGUCAAGUCCUCAUGGCCUUUAUGACCAGGGCUACACACGUACUACAAUGGCCGAUACAAAGGGCAGCGACACUGCGAGGUGAAGCCAAUCCCGUAAAAUCGGUCUCAGUCCGGAUUGGAGUCUGCAACUCGACUCCAUGAAGUUGGAAUCGCUAGUAAUCGUGGAUCAGCAUGCCACGGUGAAUACGUUCCCGGGCCUU